GCCUGGCGGUCCGCCUGGAGGCGUCCGUUGAGGAGGGGGUACUGUGGUGGUUGGAGUCCGGCUGGCUGUGAGUUCCUGUUUUUCUUUUCCUCAUGUUUUGCUGUCAGUUUGUGUUGCCUCUGUUUCUCUCUGUGUUCCCCCCUCCCUUCCUGUCUGUGCCAGCCAGCUGAUUGCGCACACCUGCUCGCCUCCUCACUACCGCUCUUCCCACCAUACACACCUGCCGGCCAUCAACUCCAAUCAAGCCCAGUAUAUAAACCCCGGAUUGACUCACCACCUUCGCUUGAUCGUUGCUCCUGCCUACUUGCCAUUGCCUUCCUCGUCACUCUGCCUCCAGUCAGCUGGCUCCUCCAUCCAGUUCCCCCUCACGGUUUCCUGCACCAGCCUGCCUCAGCCCUCGCCUCUCCGCGCUCCAGUACUUCCCUGUCGAGUUCUCAGACCCGGUCUCCCCGUGCCUCUGUUCCCGGUUCCAGCCCCCGUGCCUGUGCUCCCCUCUCUGGCAUCCACCUCCCCACUUCCCCAUUCACUUUCCCACUUUUCCUAAUAAAGUGAUUUGUGCUGA
Perca flavescens (yellow perch) is the source of this 562-nucleotide long non-coding RNA. RefSeq lists it as uncharacterized. NCBI's taxonomy places the organism in Eukaryota, Metazoa, Chordata, Actinopteri, Perciformes, Percidae. The record is from RefSeq and is a predicted model, not a curated record. The transcript has 2 exons.